CUAUACAUGACUCUGCGCAUAUCAAUAAGCGGAGGAAAAGAAGCUAACAAGGAUUCCCUUAGUAACGGCGAGUGAAGCGGGAAGAGCUCAAAUUUGAAAUCUUCAAGGUUUUACCUUGACGAAUUGUAGUUUAAAGAAGUGUUUUCUGCUGAAGUUUUGGUAAAAGUUCUUUGGAAUAGGACAUCAUAGAGGGUGAGAAUCCCGUAUUUGACCAUUACUUUCAACUUUGUGAUACACUUUCAAAGAGUCGGAUUGUUUGGGAAUGCAGUCCAAAAUGGGUGGCUAAAUUUCAUCUAAAGCUAAAUAUUGGCGAGAGACCGAUAGCGAACAAGUACCGUGAGGGAAAGAUGAAAAGAACUUUGAAAAGAGAGUUAAACAGUACGUGAAAUUGUCAAAAGGGAAGCGUUUGACACCAGUGUUGUUUUCUCGGAAAUCAAUUAAAAAUGGCUCGAUUUUGUAUUGUUGAGACCUUAAAAGCUCACUGUACAUUUUUCGUGUCUUUUUUAAUGCACUUUUCGUUUAACAAGUCAACAUCAGUUUCUUUUGUUGUAAAAGGGUCAUUGGAAGGUGGCUUUCUUUUCGGAGAAAGUGUUUAUAGCCUUUGGCCUCUGCAAUUGGAGAGACUGAGGAUCCUGCAGCGUAGACUCUUCGGGGUUAGAUACAUUUGUGCUAAGUUAUAGCUUUUUAUAGACAACUUGUUGACUAUAAUUAGUCUUGUAGCUUACUCGCUUAUGCUAUUUUACCUACGCUUAGGAUGUUGACACACGCGCGUGCUCGGCUCUAUACAUGACUCUGUGCAUAUCAAUAAGCGGAGGAAAAGAGGGCUAUUACCUACGCUUAGGAUGUUGACAGCAGUAUAGACUGU
Molecule: ribosomal RNA, 865 nt
Filed under: uncultured Neocallimastigales
Lineage: Eukaryota; Fungi; Neocallimastigomycota; Neocallimastigomycetes; Neocallimastigales
Description: partial large subunit ribosomal RNA
Rfam family: Eukaryotic large subunit ribosomal RNA
Source: RNAcentral